This 490-nucleotide ribosomal RNA is filed under the name uncultured bacterium. Its description in RNAcentral is "partial 16S ribosomal RNA". It matches the Rfam family "Bacterial small subunit ribosomal RNA", at positions 30 to 507 of the family's 1533-position model. The record is from RNAcentral.
AUUGAACGCUGGCGGCAGGCCUAACACAUGCAAGUCGAACGGUAACAGGAAACAGCUUGCUGUUUCGCUGACGAGUGGCGGACGGGUGAGUAAUGUCUGGGAAACUGCCUGAUGGAGGGGGAUAACUACUGGAAACGGUAGCUAAUACCGCAUAACGUCGCAAGACCAAAGAGGGGGACCUUCGGGCCUCUUGCCAUCGGAUGUGCCCAGAUGGGAUUAGCUUGUUGGUGGGGUAACGGCUCACCAAGGCGACGAUCCCUAGCUGGUCUGAGAGGAUGACCAGCCACACUGGAACUGAGACACGGUCCAGACUCCUACGGGAGGCAGCAGUGGGGAAUAUUGCACAAUGGGCGCAAGCCUGAUGCAGCCAUGCCGCGUGUAUGAAGAGGGCCUUCGGGUUGUAAAGUACUUUCAGCGGGGAGGAAGGGAGUAAAGUUAAUACCUUUGCUCAUUGACGUUACCCGCAGAAGAAGCACCGGCUAACUCCGUG